AAGCUUUCCCUGAGGAUCCUCCAGUAGAAAUUUAUGACCUAGACUUGCCUGAUUCUGAAGAGAAAGACUUGCCUGAUUCUGAAGAGAAAGACUUGCCUGAUUCUGAAGAGAGAAACUCAAUCGCUGAACAAGAAAUUGGAAACCUACCUGAGGAAGAUCUGGAUAAUGUCCAUCCUCCUACUCAACCUGCUCAGGAGAGCGAAGAAAACACAAGUGAUCUGGGUCAAACAGACAACCAAAAUGAAAGUGACUGUUCGGGAAGACCUGUCAGGGACAGAAAAGCGACUAAAAGACUGACUUAUCCAGAGCUAGGAAACCCGUUGAUUACAAUAGUUCAGUCUUUAUUUCAAACUUUGAGUGAUGUGUUUACAGACUCUCUUGAAGAACCUAGCCUUCCAAGAACCCCUAGAGUUAUGACAGCAUAGAUUCAACAUGCACAGGGACGUGCAUUAGGUAAAGAGGGGAGGAUGUAACCCAUGUUAAAACCUGACAUAGGUAGGAUUAAACAAAGUUGAUUAAAAGUCUGUAGACAGAAAUAACGUCCCUGCCCCUUUAAGAAACCAGCGUCACAGACGCUGCAUCUGGGUGACGCUGCAGUGCACAGACUAGAGCGAGAGAGAGAGAGAGAGCAGAGGAGGAGUCGGAGGAAAAGAGCGGUGAUUAAUUAACAGAAAAAGUUAAUAUUAUAGUUAAAAAAACAUAAUUUACCUGGUCGGGAACGGACAGGGAUUUUAUGAGAACCAAAUUACAUCGGUUUUGGUCGGGUUUUUUUGUUCGGUUGGAAGCUCGGUCGGAGUGAAGAUUGGUCUGCGGUGUGCGGUGUGCACGUUCACAGACGGGAUUCCAGAUGGCGAGCCAGACCUAGACCUUCAAUUCAUCUUUUCCAUCGCAUCAAGGAGAGACUCUCUUGCGUGUGGUAAUUGCUGCCGGAGCGGUAGGAAUAUCAGGAACCAGUUCAAAUCGAAUUGAACAGAACUGAGAACUGUUUGAAUUAUUAUUUUGUUUUUGGACUGAAUCAACUGAGACUUUUUGUUGAAUUGAACAUCUGAACUUGCAUUGAGACUUGAAUUUGAAUUUAAAGUGCCAUACUUUGAUUUUCAUAUGUUUGUGUCUCUGAAUGUGAUUUGAAAGAUUGUGGUCCGUUUUGAUUUACUUGUGUUUGAAGGUAUUUACCUACCUGAAAAAGAAUGGAUAACGAGUUAACUCAGGAAGAAAAACAGGAAUCUUAAAAUAGGUGCAACCUAGGAAAAAAUAGAUUGGUCUAAUUAGAUUAGUCUUAUUAAAACAAACUAGGUAAACUAAAGAGUAAAAAGAAGAGUGGUAUACUUUCUUUUUUUUUUCCCCUUCUCUCUUUUUCCCAUUUAUAUUUACCUCAUUAUUAAGAAUCUGCAGGGUAUUUUUAAGUUCAUGUGUUGUAUUUUAUGUGUGUGUUCUGCAUUCAGUAAACUGCCGGCCUUUUCCAUAGAAA
Molecule: long non-coding RNA, 1468 nt
Organism: Fundulus heteroclitus (mummichog)
Lineage: Eukaryota; Metazoa; Chordata; Actinopteri; Cyprinodontiformes; Fundulidae
Exons: 2
Source: RefSeq, a predicted model, not a curated record